Molecule: non-coding RNA, 1096 nt
Organism: Myodes glareolus (Bank vole)
Lineage: Eukaryota; Metazoa; Chordata; Mammalia; Rodentia; Cricetidae
Source: RefSeq, a predicted model, not a curated record
UUACGGGCACACUUUCCUAAUUUGACCUAUCCGUGACAGUCUUUCAAAAUUGAAAUGAAUGUGCCUCGUUCCGUUUGAAAUUACCCCAAAUUAAAGAUUAUGGAUAGCUGGUGAAUGCUUGUGAAGUGCAGAGAUUCAGGCCCCGUUUAUCUUGAAAGUCCUCUCUGGGGAAGGCAAGACGUCAUCUUGCAGCCAAGUCUCUGACCGUGCAAGUUGGUGAAAGGUCCUUUGUCUGAGCUUCGGAUGAUGAACAUGAGAAAAUGCCCUUGACAUUUUGCGACCCUGCGAGAGAACUUGCAGUUAAGCGAAGGAGAGACUGGAUGAACACGUCUCUUACUCUUCUCCAUCAGUUGCAGCAGCAGGAACUUCCCUCAACUCCUCACUCAUCUAGCUUCAUGCUCUUACUCUCUUUUACAAGGCAAACAAGCACAAAAAACCCUCGCGUCUGGCCAGCUACUCCCGGAUAUGAGACCUGCCCCGGAGUGUGGUGGCGAGGUGUUGCUUUCGACUUGCUUUUUGUGUUCUUCCAUGAGCUGGUCAAACAAAUUCAUCACUGUCUGAUGUUUGAGAGAGUAGGCUGCUUCAGACCAACUCUUGACUAAGAUUUUUGGUAAAGGAUGGGAAAACAACUCUCAGGAUUUGGUCUGUGUGUCCAUCAUGGCUACUUGGGUCUGUCUUGGAGGUGUAGAGAUACUCAUGGGCAGCCGUGAGGUGAAAAGACAACUGUAACUCACCAGAACCUCCUCUGUGGAUGCUGAGACGCCUGUGAUUUCACCAGAACCUCAUCUGUGGAUGCUGAGAUGCCUGUGGUUUCACCAGAAUCUCAUCUGUGGAUGCUGAGAUGCCUAUGGUUUCACCAGAACCUCAGCUGUGGAUGCAGAGAUGCCUGUGGUUUCACCAGAACCUCAUCUGUGGGUGCUGGGACGCCUGUGGUUUCACCAGAAUCUCAUCUGUGGGUGCUGGGACACCUGUGGUUUCACCAGAAUCUCAUCUGUGGAUGCAGAGACACCUAUGGUGUAUGGGGUCACAACAUCAAUCUUCCUGUUUUAAUUUCUGCCCCAAUCAUUUGAAACAGUAAAACUCAAUUUAGAAAUGA